UUUAGGGUUCAGCAUCCGCACGAUGUAGUAGCUGUCUCUCGAGCUGUGGGAUUUGGGAACGUGGGUGGUGUAGAAUCGUGCAAUGAUGGGAUCUUUGUGUUGGAUCCGGAGGAGGAUAGUGCAUAAUAUAGCCUGUGAUGUUAUGUUGUGUUUGACGAUGGAAGAAGCGGUGUAAUGGGAUCGGGAGUAGUGUUCCGGGUGGCAGUUGUUUUAAUUCUGGUCAAAGGUCUCGGUUCUACAGUGUUUCCUUUAUUUAGGCUAAGGUGGGUGGCACGCUUAUCGCAGUGAGUAGUUUCGAAUGAGUUUCCGUUUCUCAUCGUGUCAUAACUUGUAGUGGUCGCAGUGGACUUCGCUUGCAUGCACCAUGCUGACUUCGACUGUUAUGUGAAUACGUCUUUCGUAAUGAGUCAUCUCCGGAAUCGUUUAACGCAGUGAACAUUGAGUACCAUGGCUUCGAUCAUUGUCUUGUGUCCCUUGUAACAGGGAUCAAGCUCUGGUCAAGUUACCAGAUCCUGGAGAAUCGAAACGCGGAACUGGAAUGCACAUAGAAAGUGGAGUCAUGCGAGUUUGUGUGGACAGCUGGAAUUGUCAAGCGUGACUUUUGUAGAUAAUCCUCAUUCAAGACCCAUCGUUACAUUUAUUAGAACAGAUCAUUCCACACUAGUCUUCUUUGCCCAUAGGAACCUUUCGCCUGUUUCAGCGAGGGUCGGGUCCAUGCUUUCUCCUGCUUCAAUUUCAUAUUAUUCCACACUCGCAAUGAAGCCAUUCUAGUGUGCAGCUCCAGUGUUCUAUCUCAAAUGCUCUGCUUUGACGAAGACGGUUAUGAUCAUUGAGUUAAAUGGGUGCAUCGUGAAGGAUUUUCCACCUUAAUUGUACAGUUUCAUUUUAUUUGUGGAGUAAAUUUAUGCGGUUUUAUCGUAAAGAACGUUGGAGAAAGGCAUGUGCUCAGGAGGGAAGAAAAACCGGACCAUGGUGAAGUGCGCUCAUGAGUUCUGUGUAUCUUACAAUUCAUGCUGAGAAGUUCGAGGUUCAAGCUGGGCUCUCACGGCUGACGGGCAUCACUGGGCGUACUUUGCAUAGCAACAAAGACAUCCUUUUUUGUGACUCUCCAGGGAUCGCGAAGUCUUUGCGGGCGUUGGAGGAGCUCCGCUUUCUGUCUCACUGACGAGACGAUCCUCGGUGAAGGUGGUGACACUGCAUUGGACACUCAUAUCAUGCUUGAUCAGGAGAAAAUGUUCUGACCACUCGGGACCCUGGAGCCGGCGUGACCAAGGAUGACCUCGAGAAGAACCUUGGUACCAUUGCCAAAUCGGUGAUAUCAGGUACGUAUGAAUUAAGUCAAAGUCAACAGCUCCACCUGACGUGUGUGUGGUUUCGAACAAUAUUGGUUUUGUGAUCCCACCUGGGCAGCUUUUUGAAGGAAUGUUUUCGUCCGCUUACUAUUCCCCCUUUGCAAGGUAGAGCAGAAUCUUGUCUCCGGUAUCUGGUGCAGCUUUCUAAGAGCAGAUGCAAAAUAGAACGAGGUCUGAACGUCAUGGGUCAAUUUGGAGUGAAUUUCUGGUCGGUGUACUGGGCUGCUGAUCACGUCGAAGUUAUAAGCAAGCUCAAUGAUGACGUGCUGCGUGUUACUCUCUUCAUGACUCUCUCGGUCUUGUCAACUGAGCAAUAAAUUCUGAGCCAGCGGCUAUCUGUGAAGAGAUCGUAUGUAUGUCUGAUCAGAAUCCAUGUUUAGAAUUUGGCUCUAUUGCAGAAAUUUGUAAAAAUAUAUCAAAAUAAAGUAAACUGGAUUGCCCCUUUGCGGGACAAGUAACGUAAACCGCAUCUCCUUCGAACGUUGGCCGUGCGGGAAUUGGUUAAGAUGUAGUCAGAGUUCGUCAGCUUCUGGGCCACGGAAGGGGAUGAUGCUGAACUGCCUUUUGAGGAGACCGAGGCGAAGAAACAGAAUGAGAUUGGGGGUACAAACUUUGAGCAUGGGAAAUCUUCUGAUGAAAAUGCAACUGGCGAUUUACACAAUGUCUAAAUUCAUCGUGAAUUACAAAGAUCGAAAACCAAGUGUCAAAGAAAUCAAAUAGGACUGGGAGAUUCUUAAACUGAAGCCAAAGGCUGUUUGGCUUCGGUGCCCAAAGGAUUUAAUAGCAGAAGAAGGUGACAAGUUCUACCACCCCAUGACUUGCAGUAGCAAUCGCCCGCAUGUCAUUGUGAGUGUUUUUAGCCAGAGCAGUUCCGUACUUAGAGCUGGAAAUAUUGUGGGACUCUUAGCCGUAAGUGCCGAAUAGUCAUGUUGUGAGAAUGUCGGGGCUCUCCUAUUAUUAUUGGAGAGCAAGAUUACCAAUAUUGUUGUGCUAAACUGCAUAGUUAUUGUUAACGUCCUUGGAUUGAGAUAGCCUUGAAUGUAUGUCCUUUGGCCAUGUUGGGCUCCAAGCAGCACGAGCAUGCUUCUCAUGUGAUAUUCAUAUCGUGAAUGUAUCUCGAGGAAUGUUGCAGCAACAAAGCGGCUCAAAAACUAUCAAGAACUUGCUUUCCCGUGAAACCUCGGAUUAAUUCUGGUAAUCUAGAUGAGAACUUUGAUUGCAAAAAUGACAGGUUAUCCCAUAUCGAAUGUUUGAGCUCUCUAAUGUCAUGGAAUAUUGAUGUUUUCAGCCUGAACAUUUUGUUGAAGAUGUCAACGUUUGCGAAUAAUUUUCCUUUUUGCAGAGGAUGGCGAAAGGAGACUGUUAGGAAGGCCAAACAUGUUCAUCAUUGAGUUCAUCUUGCUAAGUUUCUACGGAUUUCCAGGUGAAUUUUAAAUUUCGGUAGCAGCUAGUCAAAUGUUGUCAACUUUUUCUGACACAUGGUUUGAACUCUUGCAGUACGACAUUUUUUCAAGUUGUUCGCUGUACAGGUAUUCCGUUUAUGCUUAUCGCUGUGCAGGAUGUAGAUCGAUGAUGAUCUAGUGAAAUUAUGUACCUGUAAGUCUGAACUGGACAAGAACUUCCCAAUCGUCGUGUAAACACGUCUCACAUUUGAUUGCAAAUUUUAUCUUAUUGGACAGGUGGAGUUUUCAGAAGAACAUAUCAAUAAAGAAUUGAACAUGGCAUGUGGCUACACAUCUAUGUAUGAAAUGUACAUGACGUCACAAAAAUCUCAGAUGUGAAACUUCUCGUGUACAGUUUUUGUCUCAUUUUCUGUUCAACCCUCUUCAGUAGUCUUGAAGGUGUCAUGAAAGGAAAAGCAGGACCAGUACUCCUCUGACAGGACUCCUUAAAACACCAAGCCUUCGUAAACGAUUUCGUGGUGACCUCCUAUUGCUGGAAUCGUGUGGUCCUCAGCUGAACAGCAUGGGCUCUAAUAGAGAGUCCAUUACGUAACAUGAAUCAUGGAUGCGAAAAAUUCUGCACCGCGUCUCAAGUCCAUGGAAUCUAUCUAAACGGCCUAGGCUUCGGUGGCAAAAGCAGCCACGAGAGCUUCAUAGCCAGAAGAAUCCUCAAUCAUUAAGGGCGGUGUGUUUCAACUUUUUUGUUUCCUUUCCGUCUGAGCAGUUAGUUGGAAACAAAGGGGGAAAAAAAAAAAAAAAAAAAAAAAAAAAAAGGCCUUUACGAAUAGGAACUGAUAAUUCUGAUGGUGUUUUUCGAAAAGCUUGUGUCCGCUACCGUAUGCCCGGAUCUAGUUGAACAGGGACUACGCUCCAUUUCAUCCAACAAUGUUCGUAAUCGUGUUUGGGUAUUUCACCCAUCCACAAUUGAAGUAAAUAUCACGGGCAGAUUAACCGUUGUAGUUUACAUUU
Non-coding RNA from Physcomitrium patens, 3763 nucleotides. The record is from RefSeq and is a predicted model, not a curated record. NCBI's taxonomy places the organism in Eukaryota, Viridiplantae, Streptophyta, Bryopsida, Funariales, Funariaceae.